This 22-nucleotide non-coding RNA is filed under the name Arabidopsis thaliana (thale cress). Lineage: Eukaryota; Viridiplantae; Streptophyta; Magnoliopsida; Brassicales; Brassicaceae. The record is from RNAcentral.
CACAUCACUUCUUUGCUGCCUA